UGCCCUAUAGUAUAAUGGUAAUACAUUCGGCUCUAACCCGAAAAUUGACUGUUCGAGUCAGUCUGGGGCUACUA
RNAcentral lists this transfer RNA (74 nucleotides) under Caudoviricetes sp. Its description in RNAcentral is "tRNA-OTHER". It matches the Rfam family "tRNA". From Rfam's summary of the family: Transfer RNA (tRNA) molecules are approximately 80 nucleotides in length. Their secondary structure includes four short double-helical elements and three loops (D, anti-codon, and T loops). Further hydrogen bonds mediate the characteristic L-shaped molecular structure. tRNAs have two regions of fundamental functional importance: the anti-codon, which is responsible for specific mRNA codon recognition, and the 3' end, to which the tRNAs corresponding amino acid is attached (by aminoacyl-tRNA synthetases). tRNAs cope with the degeneracy of the genetic code in two manners: having more than one tRNA (with a specific anti-codon) for a particular amino acid; and 'wobble' base-pairing, i.e. permitting non-standard base-pairing at the 3rd anti-codon position. Lineage: Duplodnaviria; Heunggongvirae; Uroviricota; Caudoviricetes. The record is from RNAcentral.